AGAGAACCUUGCCGUGGUGAGUAACCACGUGACUUGACCAGGUGGCUCAAUGCAAUUUAUAGGAUCUGCCAGGAGUCACGUGGCAAACCCAUGCACGUGAGUUUGGGGUGGAGGGCCCUGAAGGGGAGAGGAAGAAUUCUCCCUCUCCUGCACCACGUUAAAGUGCAAAUGAAAGAUCCCCGAGCAAAGCUGUGGCGCAUCAGGACAGAAUACCAGAGUGAGUGCAAGUGGAGGCCGCUGGGCACAGCAGGCAGGUGAGCACAGAGGAGGGAAGAGAAGUCCUGGGGCACCAGGGGGGUGGACUUC
RNAcentral lists this long non-coding RNA (306 nucleotides) under Felis catus (domestic cat). RNAcentral's name for it is "lncRNA (ENSFCAG00000051083.1)". Lineage: Eukaryota; Metazoa; Chordata; Mammalia; Carnivora; Felidae. The record is from RNAcentral.